This 31-nucleotide non-coding RNA is filed under the name Rattus norvegicus (Norway rat). The record is from RNAcentral. Lineage: Eukaryota; Metazoa; Chordata; Mammalia; Rodentia; Muridae.
UGUUACUGGUUGAGUGCAUCGGUAGGUGGUU